Molecule: ribosomal RNA, 450 nt
Filed under: uncultured bacterium
Lineage: Bacteria
Description: partial 16S ribosomal RNA
Rfam family: Bacterial small subunit ribosomal RNA
Source: RNAcentral
CCUACGGGCGGCUGCAGUGGGGAAUUUUGGACAAUGGGCGCAAGCCUGAUCCAGCCAUUCCGCGUGAGUGAAGAAGGCCUUCGGGUUGUAAAGCUCUUUCGCAAGGGAAGAAAACUUACAUUCUAAUAAAGUGUGAGGCUGACGGUACCUUGAUAAGAAGCACCGGCUAACUACGUGCCAGCAGCCGCGGUAAUACGUAGGGUGCGAGCGUUAAUCGGAAUUACUGGGCGUAGAGCGGUCGCUCAGGGGUGAAAUCCCCGAGCUCAACUUGGGAACUGCGUUUGAAACUACAAGACUAGAAUAUGUCAGAGGGGGGUAGAAUUCCACGUGUAGCAGUGAAAUGCGUAGAGAUGUGGAGGAAUACCAAUGGCGAAGGCAGCCCCCUGGGAUAAUAUUGACGCUCAUGCACGAAAGCGUGGGGAGCAAACAGGAUUAGAUACCCGUGUAGUC